UCUUGAAACGUGUGGCCCGACCGAUUCGAUCAAGUAUAAACCAAAAACUUUUUUUUAUUAUUUUAAAUUCUCGUUCAGUUCUAGUUUUAGCUCGUCAAGGAAUUGGGGGAUUUCUUGCCCAUUGCGAGAAGUUUGUGAUGGGGGUGGUGGGAAAAGCAGGGGAUUGGGCAUUUAAGGCGUUCUCGGCAGGGCUGGGCGUUGCCACCAUUUUCUUUGCUGCUUCUUUCUCCCUCAACGUCUAUCGUGGUCUCUCUUGGCAUAAUCGCCAAUCGAGGAUUGAGAAGGAAGGAUCUAAAGUCCCGCAGCAGCAGGAAUGAUGGUUUUAGACGUCCUAUACUUUAUACCUCACGUUGCUAGCUGAGUUCAUGCUGUAAGUUCUGAAUCCUUUUAAAUUAGAAAUAACUUGAAGACGAGUAUGAUUUACACAUUCUGUCAUUGUUAUUCAUUUACUGUUGCUGGCCACAUAAUUGUGGAGUUGUAAUUCUAAGUAGCUAUCUAAUUAUAGCAGCUGCUGACUUUUAAAAUGGAGUUGGAACAAUGUUUGAAAUUCAUAUGACGUGAAUUGAAAUUACUCAAUUGGAUUAAACUGA
Molecule: long non-coding RNA, 590 nt
Organism: Nicotiana tabacum (common tobacco)
Lineage: Eukaryota; Viridiplantae; Streptophyta; Magnoliopsida; Solanales; Solanaceae
Source: RefSeq, a predicted model, not a curated record